Molecule: unclassified non-coding RNA, 252 nt
Filed under: Hevea brasiliensis (rubber tree)
Lineage: Eukaryota; Viridiplantae; Streptophyta; Magnoliopsida; Malpighiales; Euphorbiaceae
Source: RNAcentral
GGGAAUGGGACCUUGAAGUGAGUUCCACUGCAAAUUGAGUUCCACGAGACUUGUGAGCUGGCCCAACCAAUCUGGCAAGUUACCAGUUAAUUUGUUCUCACUGCAAUCAAAGUCCUGCAAACUAGGUAAAGGACCUUUAGAGGGGCAGCUUUCUAUUCCUUCAAGGAAUUCAGGUAAGCUUCCUGUCAGAUUAUUAACUGACAAGUUAAUAUAUUGCAAAUUACAAAGUUUUCCAAUUGAGCUUGGAAUCCU